This 110-nucleotide Y RNA is filed under the name Propithecus coquereli (Coquerel's sifaka). RNAcentral describes it as "Y RNA (ENSPCOG00000005513.1)". It matches the Rfam family "Y RNA". Rfam says of the family: Y RNAs are components of the Ro ribonucleoprotein particle (Ro RNP), in association with Ro60 and La proteins. Lineage: Eukaryota; Metazoa; Chordata; Mammalia; Primates; Indriidae. The record is from Rfam by way of RNAcentral.
GGCUGCUCUGAAGGUAGUGAGUUAUCUGAAUCGAUUGGUCACAAUCAGUUACAGGUUAAAUUCGUUCUAUUCUUUCCUCCCUUCUCACUACUGUACUUGACUAAUCUUUA